GAAGUGCGAUAAGCAGUGCGAAUUGCAGAACCGUGAGUCAUCAGAUUUUUGAACGCAACUGGCGCUAGAUGGUUCUCCAUCUAGCAUGUUUGUUUCAGUGUCUCGUUUUCUCCUCACCCAAAUCUUAAUGCUGGAGAUGCCCUUCUCUUGCUAAGAUCGAAAGCACUCUACACUCUGCAGGCAGCCUCGCUCGUCGAGGGUUGCACUCAAUGCAGCAGUCACAUUCUAUGUGAACUCAUUGAGAGUAGAGGUAGUGCAGUUCACUGCCAGUGCUUAGCCAACCAAACUCUACUUGUAUCUGAAAUCAAGCAGGAUAACCCGCUGAACUUAA
RNAcentral lists this unclassified non-coding RNA (331 nucleotides) under uncultured fungus. RNAcentral's name for it is "sequence contains ITS1". The stretch from base 1 to 103 matches the Rfam family "5.8S ribosomal RNA", at positions 50 to 154 of the family's 154-position model. Lineage: Eukaryota; Fungi. The record is from RNAcentral.